RNAcentral lists this ribosomal RNA (816 nucleotides) under uncultured organism. RNAcentral's name for it is "bacterial SSU rRNA". It matches the Rfam family "Bacterial small subunit ribosomal RNA", at positions 56 to 919 of the family's 1533-position model. The record is from RNAcentral.
UGCAAGUCGAGCGCACUCUUCGGAGUGAGCGGCGGACGGGUUAGUAACGCGUGGGAACGUACCCAGAUCUAAGGAAUAGCCACUGGAAACGGUGAGUAAUACCUUAUACGCCCUUCGGGGGAAAGAUUUAUCGGAUUUGGAUCGGCCCGCGUUAGAUUAGGUAGUUGGUGGGGUAAUGGCCUACCAAGCCUACGAUCUAUAGCUGGUUUUAGAGGAUGAUCAGCAACACUGGGACUGAGACACGGCCCAGACUCCUACGGGAGGCAGCAGUGGGGAAUCUUAGACAAUGGGCGCAAGCCUGAUCUAGCCAUGCCGCGUGAGUGAUGAAGGCCUUAGGGUCGUAAAGCUCUUUCGCCUGUGAUGAUAAUGACAGUAGCAGGUAAAGAAACCCCGGCUAACUCCGUGCCAGCAGCCGCGGUAAUACGGAGGGGGUUAGCGUUGUUCGGAAUUACUGGGCGUAAAGCGCACGUAGGCGGAUUAGAAAGUUAGGGGUGAAAUCCCGGGGCUCAACCUCGGAACUGCCUCUAAAACUCCUAGUCUAGAGUUCGAGAGAGGUGAGUGGAAUUCCAAGUGUAGAGGUGAAAUUCGUAGAUAUUUGGAGGAACACCAGUGGCGAAGGCGGCUCACUGGCUCGAUACUGACGCUGAGGUGCGAAAGUGUGGGGAGCAAACAGGAUUAGAUACCCUGGUAGUCCACACCGUAAACGAUGAAUGCCAGUCGUCGGCAAGUAUACUUGUCGGUGACACACCUAACGGAUUAAGCAUUCCGCCUGGGGAGUACGGUCGCAAGAUUAAAACUCAAAGGAAUUGACGGGGG